AUCCUGGUGGUCUAGUGGUUAAGAUUUGGCACUCUUGCUGCCGUGGCCUGGGUUCAUUUCCUGGUCAGGGAA
RNAcentral lists this transfer RNA (72 nucleotides) under Equus caballus (horse). It matches the Rfam family "tRNA". From Rfam's summary of the family: Transfer RNA (tRNA) molecules are approximately 80 nucleotides in length. Their secondary structure includes four short double-helical elements and three loops (D, anti-codon, and T loops). Lineage: Eukaryota; Metazoa; Chordata; Mammalia; Perissodactyla; Equidae. The record is from Rfam by way of RNAcentral.